GCGAAAUUCCUUGUCGGGUAAGUCCGACCCGCACGAAAGGUGCAACGACUUGGGCACUGUCUCAACGAGAGACCCGGUGAAAUUAUACUAUGCGUGAAGAUGCGCAUUACCCGCGACAGGACGGAAAGACCCCGUGGAGCUUUACUGUAGCCUGAUAUGGAAUGUUGGUACAGCUUGUACAGGAUAGGUGGGAGCCUUAGAAACCGGAGCGCUAGCUUCGGUGGAGGCAUCCGUGGGAUACCACCCUGGCUGUAUUGACAUUCUAACCCAGAACCGUUAUCCGGUUCGGAGACAGUGUCAGGUGGGCAGUUUGACUGGGGCGGU
RNAcentral lists this ribosomal RNA (324 nucleotides) under Terribacillus saccharophilus. RNAcentral describes it as "bacterial LSU rRNA". It matches the Rfam family "Bacterial large subunit ribosomal RNA", at positions 1959 to 2283 of the family's 2925-position model. Lineage: Bacteria; Bacillati; Bacillota; Bacilli; Caryophanales; Bacillaceae. The record is from RNAcentral.